UUGCUCAGUCACUUAGUUAGACAGACAUGGGCAUUAGAUAAGCAUGCUUAUGAACUACUUCUUAUGACCUCCUGGUUAUGAUUAAUUUUGAAGGGCCAAACAGAUGUG
Molecule: long non-coding RNA, 108 nt
Organism: Dipodomys spectabilis (banner-tailed kangaroo rat)
Lineage: Eukaryota; Metazoa; Chordata; Mammalia; Rodentia; Heteromyidae
Exons: 3
Source: RefSeq, a predicted model, not a curated record